Non-coding RNA from Heterocephalus glaber (naked mole-rat), 12590 nucleotides. NCBI's taxonomy places the organism in Eukaryota, Metazoa, Chordata, Mammalia, Rodentia, Bathyergidae. The record is from RefSeq and is a predicted model, not a curated record.
GAGCUGCGGGCCGUGUGGCCUCCGUGUCCGCGCGGCUUCGGCGUCCCGGAUCUUGGCCGUCCCCGCCUUGCGCUCCCCUCUGUCCUCGGGGUCCCCGGUGUCCCUUGACCGUGUCGGUUCCGCCGCCUCCUCUCGGGCAGGGGCGUCCUGGAGCUAGGACUCGGUCCCGCGAGCUAUCAGGCCUCGGGGACCCGCGCCUGCCCACCGGCUGUGCCCCGGAAACCUCGCUGCUGGCCGGCUCCCGGGCCCUCAGACCCUGCAGGGGGAGUUGUUUUCCCGCCUGGGAACGUGCGGUGCACCGCGCUCUGCGGACUCUUAGACCGCGGCAGUGUCCAGCGGAAGAAGCCACCAGCAAGGCCUGGGCCGGGGGAGCGGGCUUUCUUCUUAAUGUGUGACACUUUGGGACUGUUGUGCUUGCUACUUGGGUUCGGGUCAGCAGUUUUCAAGCCCAUUUCGCACAUGCAGGAAAACACAAUAAGAAUGGUGGGAGCCGAAAGGUAGGGAUGGUACUAAUUUCUUAAACUUACUUGAUCACUUGGUCAUUGGUCGAUUGAUUUUCCUAGUACUGGGGGUCGAAUCCAGGGACCCUCUGCCACUGGGCUACAUUCUCAGCCCAUCUUUUUGAGACGUGUUAUCGUUAUUUAGCCUAGGUGGGGCUUGAACAUGCAGUCUUCCUGCCUCGGCCUCCCCAGUGGUGGUCUUACAGGUGUGCACCACCAUGCUCUGCUUCCUGGUGCAAUUUCUGAAAAAUACAGCACCCUGGGCCUACAGUACCCUGGGCCAACAGGAUCAGACGCUGGUGUCUCAGGUGUUACUGCUGAAGCACACGUGGGGAGUGUGGUGUGGCUCCACCUUUCCCUUAUGGUCUUCCCUGUGAUCAGCUGCCCACCUAUCCCUAAUACUGCAACUGGAGCAAUGACUUAGGACGUUACAGGUGUCACUUUGCUGUCAGUAUGGGCAGAUCUGGGCAGAACAAGCCGUUUUUGUGGGGUUUUUUUGUACCGGGGAUUGAACUGGGGUCCUUGCACUUGCACAGCAGGCAGCCAAACCAUUGAGCUAAAUCCCCGGCCCCGAAGCCAUUCUUUUAUUUUGUUUGUUUGUUGUUGUUGUUGUUUAAGACAGAGUCUCCCUGUAGUUGAGGCUGGUCUUGAACUCACUAUGUAGCCCACACUAUACCCUCGAACUCUUGGCAAUCCUCCUGCCUCAGCCUCCUGAGUGCUGGGAUUACAGGAGUGCACCACCACGUUCCAGUGAAGCCCUGUUUUAAGGUUAUUGAGUAGAAAUUAUUUCUCUUCUUUUGGGGUGGUUUGGGGAUCAAACCCAAGACCUGUUUCCCCUCCCUGACCACUGAGCUAUACUUGAGGCCUACAAAAGCAGUAGUUUUGUUUGUUUUGUUUUCUUGAGACAAGAUUCUUAUUAUGUAGCCCAGGCUGGCCUGCAGCUCACAGUGGCAGGGCUCCGACCUCCCACCUGCACUUCUCUCCCACAGCCCAAUCUCCCCCGGGAGCUGAGCAGAAGUCCUCCUGCCUUGGCCUUCCUAGUAGCUGGAAUUACAGGCUUGUGCCGCUGCACCUAGCUCACCUUGGAUUUUUAACAUAGGCUAUUCCAUCUUUUUUAUGUAUUUGUUUUUUGGGGGUGUUUCUUUUGAGACAGGGUCUCAAAAACUAUGUCGUUUGGGCUGGUCUUUAACUUACAAUGUAGCCUAGGCUGGCCUGGAACUCUUCGGCGCCUCAGCCUCCUGAGUGCUGGAACUACAGGUGUGUGCCACCAUGCUUGCUGGCAUAUUAUAUCUUGAAAUUCAUCUUUUUGUGCUGCUGCUUCUGCCUUUGCAAUGUUCUUUUUCCUGCUAGGGGAAAAGCUUGAUGUUUCUGUCCUCACAGCUGUUAUGACUUUGCUCACCUUGUUUGGUAGUCAGCAGACAACAGUGAAAAAUCACAGGUUCUAGGGCCAGGUUUGCAGGCUUUGAAUUGUGAAGUUGCCACUCACCAGCAUUACAAGACCCUGGGGAAAUCAUUACUUGUACCUGUGCUUUGGUUUCUUCAAGCUUAGAAGAGGUGAAAUCUACUUCAUAGGGUUAGAUUCGUUGAAUAUUUAGGCCAGUGGUGCUGAACCUACCAUACGCAUGCUGCAGCAGGCUGUUUGUAUCAUUGAAAUCUCUAAAAAGUUCAUCACUGAUUUAGGCAGUGUGGGGGACAUUGUAACUACCCUAUAAAAAUAGUUUUUACAAACAUGUGUGGAGGCAUUUGGGUGUCGCAUCCCCUCUGUUGUCUGUUCUCAGUCAUCAGCAUGUUUCCUGGGUACCCGUGGCGAAUGCUGGGAAACUGGAGACAAGCUGUAGCUGCUGCCCGGCUCAGAGUCCAUCGUGGUGGGAAAAUAACCACUAUGCCUGGGUGCUGCUGCAGGCCAGGGGCCUGUCCUUCCUGCCUUGUCGGGUUUAGUGUUUGCCGCAGCCCAUGAGGUAGAGGUUCGGAGCCUGUAGAGCAGUGGGAAGCCUGACAUAGUGCUGCAGAAACUUGCCCGGAGUCCUCCGGCCGAGAGGCUUUCACACCUAACUGCACCCCAGCCCGGGCUUCCCGGGCGGCUGUGCUCGCCGUGUGGAGAGUUGUGCAUGGGGACGAGGGCAGGCGGCAUGGGCCAUCACAGAGAAGCCACUCGGCCACGCUGAUGUCACGUAGAUGUCCAGUAGGCUGUGAGCGAGGACAUUAUCUGUGUCUGCAGGAGGGUGGCAGGAGCUGUGGCGAUGAUCGGAGGGACAGUGUGUGCUGUCCUGGGAGGAGGGACGGUGAAGCUGCGAGUCUGAGGGAGUCUGAGUGCGAGGAGCCGCGGGGCGGGCACAGAAGAGCCAAGGCCUGGAUGAGAAGCAGGCUGGGAAGGAGCUUGUCUCUGUGAGGAGCUCUCACUCGGUCGAGAGUUGUGGCGGGGCCAGAAGCAGGGCUGUGAAAUAAGGCUCCCGAGGCAGAAGACCUGCUCGGCCCCUGUGUGGAGACCAGGCUGUGGGGGAAAAGUGCGAGGAGGAGGAGGUCGGGCGUCCUGCCCGGAAGCCACUGCCCGAGUCUGGGAGGGAUGCGGUGGCCUCAGUCCUCAGGUUUGGCAGGAGGUGGAGUGAAGUAGAUGACCUGUGGGACUUAGGGUGUGGCCGCGCCAGGCUUGAUGAGUGACCGGGUAGAGGAGGUGAGAAAGGGGGCAUCCUGGUGACAGCUGACUUCCAGAAAUGGGGGCCUCUGGGGGCCAGCGAGAGCAGGCUGGGGGGCGAGGGAGUGGCUGUGUCGGGCUGUGCUGGUCACCUGUGGGAGCAGUGGAGGUGGCUGCUCUGCACUAGAGAGCAGUGAGGUCUGAAAGAAAAGCAGAAAUUGCUUUUGUCACUGGAGUGUGUGGUUUAGAGUAAGGGGUGAAAUCAUGUCCAUGUUGCGAUCUUCAGGUAGGUGAUGUCUGACUGAGAUGCUGGCAUUUCUAGCUGCAAACUUUGGGGCCAGGGCAGCAUCACCUGGGACGGGGCACUUCAGUGUCCUUUUCAAGCAGGGAUCCAUUUGAGGUGCCUAGGCCUUGGCAUUUGUCAUAGUUGGUUGAAACAGUGGUGUCUCCUGGGAGGUUCAGGCACUUGUUGCAGACUGGAGCACUCAGAGCAGCAGUUGGCAGACACGUGCAGCUCCAUCUGAUGGGUUUUGGGUACACGUGUCCCAGUACUGGGAAUUGGAGCCAGGCCUUUGCACUGAGCUGUAUCCCUACCUCUUUUUAAAAGUUUGAACUUUUAGACAGGUAUCGAGCGUCCUGCAUCAGCCUCUCAGAAUAUUGGGAUUACAGGAUUACAGUUGUGUGCCACUUUGCAAGACUCAAUCAUGUUGCUUUAAUAGGUACAGCACUCAAUGGCCAUCAUGCUUGAUCUAAAUCCAGGAGGCAUUAGAAAAUGUAAAUGAGAAAGGAAUACAUUGUUAACAGGAUUUAAAAGUACAUACUAAGAAACCCUGGACCUAAACAUCCUUAAUUUGUGUAUCAAAUGAAUCUCCUGGGAGGAAGAUGUCCUCAGUGUAGGGCCAUACCUGGGCUCCUGGAGGUGGGUUCAUUAAGAUCUUAUGUGCUGUAUGUGACCAAGCUGUGGAGGUCCCCACCAGCAGCCUGGGAAGGUACCCAUGGCCCUCAGGGGUGCAGGCCCACAGCGGAGGUGUUGAGCAGGGCUGUGGCUCUGUGAGUGCAUCCUUUUUUGGGGGGGUGGGGGUUGAGGUAAGGUCUCCCUUUGUAGUUCAGGCUGGCCCUGAACUCACUAUGUAGCCCAGGCUGGCCUCGAACUCUCAGCGAUCCUCCUGCCUCAGCCUCCUGUGUGCUGGGAUUAUAGGUGUGCACCACCACGCCUGGCUCAUCUGUGAGUGCCGUUUACCAGAUGCGAAUUGAAUCACUCAGUAAUUUAGUAGCAUUUGUUGUCAGGCAUGGAAUGCUGGCAGUGGAAAAUGUUGAAGUUGGAGUAAGCCAUUGUAAGGGGCUCUGGAUGUGGUUGGUUGGUUGUUUUUUUGUUUUUAAUCUUUUUUUUUUUUUUUUUUGGUACCGGGGAUCGAACUCAGGACCUUGGGCUUUCGAGGCAGGUAGUGGAACCACUGAGCUAAAUCCCCGGCCAGUUUGGUUGUUUUUAAAGGAGACAAAUUUGGGCUCUUAAGUGGAGAAUGAGUAGAUAUAGCCACCCCCUCCCCCCACUUUUUUUUUCCAGAGAGGGUCUCAUUAUGUUGCCCAGGGUGGCCUUGAAUUUGCAGUGAUCCUCCUGCCUUAGCUGCCUGAGCGCUGGGAUUACAGGUGUGUGCCAGCACAACCAGCUGCCACCUCACUAUAAAUUAAAGGUUAAGUUGUAAGCCUGGAAUACCCCAUUUCAGUUUACAUUUGACCAUAUUAACUAUGUUAACUAGGCGUUCAUGGAGGCCAUUUUAAAUAAAUAAAUAUUAAUAUGUUAAUAACUUUGUCUAACAUAGGGUAGUUCACGGUGAUGGGCAUGUGCUGUCCUUCCUCACAUACAUGAGGCCAAACUGUUGAGCCUCCUUCAGGUUGAUACAAGGGAACAGAUAGGGGCUCCAUGCUGCCAAGUGGUAGCCUGUCUCUGGGACCCCCCAAAAUAACCAGUGUUUUUCCUCUUUUUCUUUCAAGUGAAAUCUUCAGAAUGCCUUCUCUUUCUAGAUGGUAGAUUUCUUCUUUCCUCAUUCUCCUUGGGUCUUUGUGUCCCGUUUCUUGUGGUGUGUGUGCUGCUGUUUUGACCUCACAGAUGCUUACUGGAAAUGUUCGCCACUGGCCCUGUGCAUCUGGGCCUCACGGCAGCUGCUUCAUGGCAUCUGCUGACCUGCAGGCCAGGGCCAGGAUCCACCAACAGCCACUUCACUGCUGUAGUUGCAGUGCCAGAGCUCUGUAUGUGGAUAGGCGGCGAGGACUCUCAUGCUUUGUUGGGCAGGAACCAGUGUUGGGGCAUUUGCUUGUCCAUUAAGGUUUUAGCCACAUCAUGCCAGGGGUUCAAGCCAUGUUAUGUUGUGCAUCAGGGGCUGAAGUGCAGUAGCAUCCAAGGAGCAGUGGGCUUCCUGACCUCUGUGUGUGGGCCCUUGUAGUAUAAGUGUGCAGUGUGAGCAAGCAAAUCCAUGAGAUUAGGUCCUCUGGGAUCUUUAUAUACAGCAAUGCAAAAAAUAGGAUAAAACCCUGUGACUAAACCUGUGCAUGGAAACAGGAUGGAAAAGUUACUGGCUGCUUCUCUUUCUCUUUGUGUGGCAAGAAUGCACAUGUAUCUUCCACACUGGUGCAUGGGCUGUGUGCCUAGUGCCAGGUCCUUACUGUGACUCAGCGAGGGAUGAGAUGUCAGGUGCAGUGACAGCAACAGUAGCUGUGGGAAGGGAGGUACGCUCACCCCAGCCAAGCCAGCGAUGCAGAGUUGGAGUCAGGCUGCAUCCUCCUUACCAGUUUCCAAAUUCUUUCUUAUACUUUGGUAUCACAGGUACAAAUGGGUUUAUGUAUGAUAUUUAUCCUUUGUGAUGGGCAAAUACACUAUACCGAGUUAUUGCAGAUGGACAUUCCACAGGUGAGAUGACAAGGGAAAGUACAAUGUUUAUUUGUGUUCAAUGAACAGAAAAUCCCAUUGAAAGCCAGCCAGCCACACAUACAGUGCAGUGUUCAUAUUGUAUUCAUAGAGGGCAGAAAGGCUCGGUCACCCCAUGUGUCCAAAGUCAUCCGGGCCCUUGAGGAUGUCACCUGUCUUCAGGAUGACCUGUCACCUCUCAUGGAACAGAAAGGGGCUCAACAGAAUCACAUGCUGCAAAUGAGUUACCAGACUUUACAGCCCUUACAGUGGUGGGUUUGUACAUCCAAGAGUUGAGCAGGGAGUGGAGCUUGAACUAGAAAACAAGCAGCAGACCUUUCCCCGCAGCCAUCUGCUCAGAGAGGACAGGCUGUGGGGGCUGGGAACUCACUGACUGGAAAGUGCUUCCCUUCCUUCUGCCUCAUCCAGCACUGUGGUCAUGGAGUGUAGGGCACUAGAACUGCUCUCCAAGCUGCAGGUUUUGGUGUGCAAUGGAAAUCCUGGCUUAGAUUUUUUUGAAUAGAUACUAAAACUAUCCUUCUCUCCCCUAGUAGUUUCUGUCCUUUAUGAACAGAAAAACAAGGUGUUUGCAAAGGAUUAAAAACAGGGGCAUUUGACUAUUAUGAGAAAAAUGGCCCAUGAAGAAAUGCAUAAAUUGUCUAACAGAUGUGCUCUGCUCGAAGAAGUCAAGAAUCAUGCAAGAAACCACCCUGCUGUUCAGGGGACAGAGAAGGCAGAGGUGUAAAACAUACUCGGUUCUUGUGACAAACAGUGGAAUGGUAAUGAGGACCUCGGCAGUGAGCCCUGUGGUGACCUGAAUGAGAGGGCUCACAACUCAGCACCUUGAAGUGGAGGCCAGAAGCAGUGGUGCAGGACGCUGCUGCCCGACAGACCCUGGCUCGCUCACGCUUUCUUCAUGUACAGGUGGAACAAAGUACUUUGGCCUCUCAAAUCCAUGUUUCUCCAUCCAUCUGGCCCCUUGUGCAUCCAGCCGGUCAUACAGCGGAGAAGUACGCAGCUGCCUACCAGUCUGGAAGUCCCAACGGGGAACCUUCAGGUCGUAUAUCAAAGCUAGAACAGAUGAGAACAGUCUGUCAAAGCUGUGAGUCACACACUCGGAGGUGAGUACCCAAUAUCCACUAGACCCUGGAGUCACUCCUAUUGAAGAGAGCAUAAUUUGCAGCUGAUAUGGCCUAAUCUGUCAGUAUCACCCAGUACUACAGGCAUGCUCCAGAUGGACAGUGCUGCAGAGCUGGCAUUAUCCUGAUUAUCCUGUGUAAAGCUAUCCAGCUAGUGACUCAUGCUCUCCAGUCACAAUUAUACUUCCAAAGAAAUGAUAGGAGAGAAGCCAAGGGGAAACCUUGCUCAACUCCAUAGCACAGAUGAAGGCAAUAUCUAAGUGAGACACAGGUGAUGAUGAAGUGUGAAAAAAUGGCACUUGAAUCUUUGCCUGUGUUGUUGGGAUCUCAGACCUAUUACAGACAUUUCUUCCUCUUAAUAUUUAACCCAUUUCUGAAGUGAAAGGGUACAUAGCAUACCUUGAUUUGGUGGCUCUGAAAUCUGAGAGGUUGCAAUGUAUUGUCCCAGUGACAUUAUUCACAUAACAAAGCUAGGGUCAGAAUUCAUUUCUCUUAAUGUCCAAUCUGCAACAGCAAUAAGUAAAAAGAGCCAGAAAGAAUAUGAUCUCUAGUCUCUUCCAAAGACCUGACCUCAGUCCAAGCCAAAGGUACACUAGGGGUGGGGAAGGUUGGGAGAUUAAGGAGAGGGAGGCCACACUAAAUUUCUUGUAUUGUGACAACUUAUCACCUCUUAUGGUACUUUAGGUUCUAAAACCUAUUCUAUCAUGCUUAUAAAUUCUGAGACAAAAAAAAAGGCCAUUGAAAGUGUCACAUCACCAAGGAGAAGCUCAAACGCAAUUAUAAUUUGCACACGUUCUAUUGUAACAAUUGGUGGAGAAACCUCAAAUUACAAUAGUUGAACAUCUUAGCUAAGAUAUUUGCUAAAAUUAACCUUAGCAGUUAGACAUAUUGCUGCUAGUCCUUCAUCUCCCAUGGAUGGAAGUUGUGUGCUACAAGGCAAAGCAAGUGUUCAGGUGUUAAAGGGCAUCCAAAGGCCUCACCGUGAAUGUCAUUCCACUACUAAGGCAGCAGCAGUGCAUUUGGUGGGCACAGCCAAUGUAAAAACUUACUCUUGAGCAUAAACAUGCCCCAAAUAUUUAUAAAUUAUUUAGCAAAGUCUGAGAAUAGUUCCUCAGUGUAGGAAAAUGAAAUAACUUGUCAGAGCCCACGUAAUUUAAUUUCUGAUACAAAAGCUGUCUCUAAAGGCUUGCUGGAAAAUAAAGACAAAGUGGAACAAGUUAAAAUGAAGAGGCCAAUACUUCAGAGUUGGAAGGGGACAAGGAGAAGGAAAGCAGGAAUGAAUGCUUUAUAUUCACAUGAGAAAUGCUUUCUUAGCUUGCUAGCAUAUGACAGUUUGAUGACAAAAGUCACUCAGAGAAGCCCAAAGAUCUGAGAAAACCUUGGCAAAUCCUCUGCCUUGGAAAGAAAACAGUGAUCUCAAAAUCCAAGUGGGACAGGGGGCCAGGAGAUGUAGCUCAGUGUUAGAGCAUUUGCCUAGCAUAUGUGAGGCCCUGGACAUGAUCCCCAACACUGAAAACAAAACCCACGAGUGGGGAGCAUGGGAGCAUCAUAGAGCCUUUCAAGGCAAACUGGAAAGGAGACAUUGCUAGGAAUAUACAGGAAGCCUCUGCAUAGCACCUGUAAACCCUACUGUAUUUUCCUGUUCCCAAAAGUAAACAAGGUUCAAUAUACUAACAAUGUUCUGUAAAUAUCAUGGGGCAUGAGGCCCCAUCCAGGCCUGAAAUCAGAUGCCCAACUCAAAGCAAUUAUUAAAGAACUGGGGAAAAAUCUGCCUUGUGAAUGAUAAAACAGGCCACCAGAAAGAUGCCUGCAGCUAGGUGCAGCUAGGGUAAAGCUUCACUUACGCAUGACUUCCAUGACCCGGUGGCGCAGAAAGGUACGGCUGCUCUGGAGGGCUCCAAAGCGUUUCAAGUCCAAUUCCCAGACGUUUUCUGAAGGAUAACCAUGUACUAUCCAUUCAGCAAGGUACCUGUUGGGAUGGGGGACAAAUGUUGGGCCUCAAAUGUGAUACACGAGAUAAAAAUGUUCAUCCAUCUGUCAUUUGCUAGCAAGCUAAGAAAGCACUUCUUGUGUGAAUACAAAGCACUCAUUUCUGCUCUCCUUCCCCUUUCCUUGCCUUCUUCCAACUUGCCUCAGGUGUGAUACACAAGAAAAUAAAAACAAUAUUCUACAAAUCAAGAACCAGCAGAGGGCUGGGCAUGGAGCUCAGUGAUAGAAAGCACCAAAGUGGAAAAAUAACCAGUGGAAUCAAAAUUGCUUAUGUUGUCACAGAUUUUUUACUUUUAUUUUAUUUUUUUUUGGUACCAGGAAUCGAACUUGGGUCCUUGUGCUUGCGAGGCAAGUGGCGGAACCACUGAGCUAAAUCCCCGGCCCGGUCACAGAUUUUUUUCAGGAAUAAACAAACAGGGAUCCAAGUACUACAAUCACAGAACCACUAGGAGGAUUUUAGCGCUAAUCAGGUUCCCAGAAAGUGUUUAAGACAUAAGCCACAUCUAUGAAGAAACAAGACCACACAUACAUGUGUGCUUUAAUUUACACACCAGAUGUUGGGGUCACCUGGGACAUGCUGUUAUCUGAUCACACCCCCCACUCCAUAUGUUCUCAUUAGCUACUGUGACUUUUCAGAGCUGUUCUGCAAGAGCUGUUCACUCAAGAAAACUGGCCUUACUCAAAAAAAUUUUUUUAAUUAUGAUAAAAAUACAGUUGAUCCCUGAACAACACAGGUUUAAAUUGCACAGGUCCACUUAUGUGCAGAUUUUUUUUGGGGGGGGCAGACUUUACAAACUAUUUGAUAAAACUCCCUGAAGAACCACGUAAUCUAGAUAUAUUGAAAAAAUUAAUAAAAAAAAGAUAUGUCAUGAAUGCAUUAUAUAUGUCUGUUUUAUCAUUUACUACCACAAAAUAGAUACAAAUCUAUUACUAAAGUUAAAAAUUGUCAAUAUUUACACUCCUAAACAGGUCAUACAUGGUGCCAUUCGCAGUCAAGAGAAAUGUAAACAAACAUAAAGAUGUAGUAUUAAACUGUAACUGCAUAGAUCCACUUCACUAACAGUGUGAUAAUUUCAUAGCAUUGUCCUGUACUACUGGGGUGAGCACAAGUGUUGGGAAUAUCCACUUAAAACAUCACGAGAUGGGCCAGGGAUUUAGCUCAGUGGUUCCACCACUUGCCUCACAAGCACAAGGUCCUGGGUUCAAUCCCCGAUACCAAAAAAAAAAAAAAUAAUAAUAAUGAGAUGCUACUCAUCUCUUGUAAGUACCCAGAGUACCUAGAACCACAGUAAAAAUAUCUCCAGGCCAGGGAUUUAGCUCAGUGGUUCCAGCGUCUGCCUUGCAAGCACAAGGUCCUGGGUUCGAUCCCCGGUACAAAAAAAAAAAAAAAGCUAUCUCCUAGUUCUCUUGCACUUUUUACUAUUUACAUGUAACACGCAAAAAGUGUUAACUGACGGUUUACAUUGUCAGUAAGGCUUCUGGUCAACACCAGGCUAUGAGUAGUUAACUUUUGGGGAACCAAAUGUUACACAAGGAAUUCGACUGGGAGCAGAGCCCAGUGUACUCAGCAACCUGCUCUGGGUGCUGGGCCAGCGACCACCGCCCAGGAGAAGCUGCCACUGCCGCAGCCACAGCAGACUGUCACCACCAUCACACCAAGAACAGGAGGCCACGUCCCAGCAGGGGUCCACCCUCAGCUCUGCCCAUACCAAGCUGUGCUGGGAGUGGUGCCUGGUGGCCUCAAGGGGGUGCUGGCAGCAGGGCAGAAGCUCAGAGCUGACACUGUGAGAAGACUUACUUCCCAGCCCCUCCACCAAAGGACAGGCCGGCCGAGUUCAUCCCUGCCAGGACAAAGUAGCCACGGACCACAGGGGACUCGCCCAUGAUGCACCUCAUGUCUGGCGUGAAGGUCUCGGGACAGUUCACCAGCUUCAGGAUCUCCAGCAUCUCCAGUUCUGGCAUCCGACGCAGGAGGGAACUCAGUAGGGGCUCUGAAUGACGAGAACAAACCCAACACAGCCCUCAGCUUUAGGGAGUUUAGAAACUUGUUCCAAGCCCUUAUCCUCCUCUCAGAAAGUCUCCUGGAAGGAAUUUUUCUAAGACCCAGUUGGGCCUUUUAUCAAAAGAAGAAAGCUUGGUGAAAUUGCAGAACACAUCUGCACAAUGCUUAGCAUAAAGACUGAGAAAAAUAUGUGGAAAGGAAAGGUGGUACAGGCUAGCAAGUAAUACAUGGGGGUAGAGACAGUAAUAUCAAAGGACUUCAGCAGGAAUGGAAAGGCUCUUUACAUAGCAUUUGGGGAACUUUUAAUGAAAAACAAUGUUUUCAGCCAGGUUUGGUGAUGCACACUUGUAAUCCAAGCAUUCUGGGAGGCUGAGGCAGGGAUAUGCAAGUUGGAGCCCAGCCUGGACAAUUUAGUAACACUGUCUCAAAACAAAACAAAAAAAAACAAUAAAGGGCUGGGGAUGUAGCUCAGUGUGAAGGCCCUAGGUUCAACCUCCAGUACAAAAGAAAAAAAAAAAGCAACGUUUCCCUGUUAGAAUAGUUACAAAAGACAGAGCCCCCCUAUGAAGAGUAAAUUUGUCAUCUGGCCAUAAUCCUGUGGGACAGUGACAAUAGAUGAAUCAGGCUGGAGCUGUCUGGUGGGUGCUGGAUGGGCAGCAGGGGAGGGAAAGGUCUGAUCACUCCACUCCUUCUAGUAUGAAAUUCUGAAAUCUCCCAAAAGUAGUUUUAUUUUUUCCUCAAGAUUAUUAUUAUUUUUUGGUACCAGGGAUCAAACUCAGGACCUUGUGCUUUCGAGGCAGGCGCUGUGCCACUGAGCUAAAUUCCCAGCCCAAGAUUAUUUUUAAAAAGUCCACAGGCUAGGGGCUGGGGAUUUGGCUCAGUGGUUCCACUGCCUGCUGCGCAAGCGUAAGGAUCUGAGUUCGAUCCCCGGCACCAAAAAAAAAAAAAAAAAAAAAGUCCACAGGGUGAGGAAUGUCAUGUCCCUCACCUAGUGUGCAUUAAGCCUAUGUUUGAUUCCCAGCACUGCAGAAGAAAAAAAAAGUCCAUCACGGACAGAGGGAAAUUCAUCAGAGGCUCUCAUAUCUUUAGAACUUGGAUCCAUGUGACUAUGUUAAUUAUUCAAUGAAUCAAAUUAUUUUAAAAUUUAAUAAAGGACCACAUUAUCAAACAAUCCUUUCUUUUAAAAAGUUCUUUAAUACAAAGUCCUACCUGAAAAAAGGUCUCUUUCAAGCCUAGAGUUCUAGCAAUGAUUUUUAGGUAAAUAAAUGAAAAGCCAAGACCAGGCAAACUCUGUACACUGUCCCCCUUUUCCUUUUUGUUCAUUUCUUUUGUAGAUUGCCCUCUGAAACUCCUUUUAUACCUAACAGUUGUUAUAAAUCGAACUAUUCGUGAAAAUCCUUUGAAAAAUAUAACAUCUGAACAAACA